GAUGAACGCUAGCGGCAGGCCUAACACAUGCAAGUCGAGGGAGGAGCUUUCGGGCUUCGACCGGCGUACGGGUGCGUAACGCGUAUACAAUCUGCCUUUCACAUAGGGAUAGCCCGAAGAAAUUUGGAUUAAUACCUAAUGGUAUAUAGGAGUGGCAUCACAUUUAUAUUAAAGCUGAGGCGGUGAAAGAUGAGUAUGCGUUCUAUUAGCUAGUUGGAGAGGUAACGGCUCCCCAAGGCGACGAUAGAUAGGGGUUCUGAGAGGGAUAUCCCCCACACUGGUACUGAGAUACGGACCAGACUCCUACGGGAGGCAGCAGUGAGGAAUAUUGGACAAUGGUCGGAAGACUGAUCCAGCCAUGGCGCGUGCAGGAAGACGGCCUUAUGGGUUGUAAACUGCUUUUGCAGGGGAAGAAUAAGGACUACGAGUAGUUUGAUGACGGUACUCUGCGAAUAAGCAUCGGCUAACUCCGUG
Molecule: ribosomal RNA, 474 nt
Filed under: uncultured bacterium
Lineage: Bacteria
Description: partial 16S ribosomal RNA
Rfam family: Bacterial small subunit ribosomal RNA
Source: RNAcentral